This 497-nucleotide ribosomal RNA is filed under the name uncultured bacterium. Its description in RNAcentral is "partial 16S ribosomal RNA". It matches the Rfam family "Bacterial small subunit ribosomal RNA", at positions 28 to 507 of the family's 1533-position model. The record is from RNAcentral.
GACGAACGCUGGCGGCGUGCCUAAUACAUGCAAGUCGAGCGCUGAAGGUUGGUACUUGUACCAACUGGAUGAGCAGCGAACGGGUGAGUAACGCGUGGGGAAUCUGCCUUUGAGCGGGGGACAACAUUUGGAAACGAAUGCUAAUACCGCAUAAAAACUUUAAACACAAGGUUUAAGUUUGAAAGAUGCAAUUGCAUCACUCAAAGAUGAUCCCGCGUUGUAUUAGGUAGUUGGUGAGGUAAAGGCCCACCAAGGCGAGGAUACAUAGCCGACCUGAGAGGGUGGUCGGCCACAUUGGGACUGGGACACGGCCCAAACUUCUGCGGGGGGCAGCCGUAGGGGAUCUUCGGCAAUGGGCGGAAGUCUGACCGAGCCACGCCGCGUGAGUGGAGAAGGGUUUCCGAUCGGAAAACUCUGUUGGUAGAGAAGAACGUUGGUGAGAGUGGAAAGCUCAUCAAGUGACGGUAACUACCCAGAAAGGGACGGCUAACUACGUG